RNAcentral lists this ribosomal RNA (706 nucleotides) under Triticum aestivum (bread wheat). RNAcentral's name for it is "partial small subunit ribosomal RNA". Lineage: Eukaryota; Viridiplantae; Streptophyta; Magnoliopsida; Poales; Poaceae. The record is from RNAcentral.
GCUGGUCCAAGAGUUUUCUGUGCCCGGUCCCCUACCCUGCACGCACACCACGUCUAUUCUGCUCUUAACACUGGUGUAAGAGAAAGCCACAUAACACCGGUUUAAGUAAACCUCACAAUACGCCCUACGGUGCCCCACAAGAUCCUCGGGUCGCCCGAAACGGUUAGAAGCAGUUAACUAGGUCCCUUGUGUACCCUUCCUAUCCUUUUACCGCACGAUACCUCUCAACUUCUGGCAAGCCCUCUGUUCUCCUGGCUACCGUCGUACUAGCCGAGUAGUCGUCGGAGGAACGUUCUUCAGUUCACGAUGCACGACGGAGUUCUGCCCUGUGAUGACCGAUCUCCUCGGUAGGCACGAAUCCGUCAUGAACAUCGCUCCGAGCAGGCCGUGCUGUGGAGAAUCAUAGCAAGUAAACGGUCGUACCGUAAAGGAAAGACAAGUGAUCGCAACGUAGUGACACAGACCAGUAAACACUUAAAUACUGGGACAUAGCUUGAGGGAAAUAAAAGACGAUGGAACAACAAUUGACAUUCCCGGAGCCAAAUUCCGGUCCGUAUACGGAGGUAAGAUCUUUUUUGAGUACGACGAAUUCUAGGAACAACGACACGUAAGGUUGUUCUCUUCUAGUCGAUGUGAAGAAAAACGAAAACGGGACUUGUACCAGGGUGUAACUCGGCGUACACCGAGACAUGAUACCGAACUUCGU